Molecule: non-coding RNA, 312 nt
Organism: Pelobates cultripes (western spadefoot toad)
Lineage: Eukaryota; Metazoa; Chordata; Amphibia; Anura; Pelobatidae
Source: the annotation of a GenBank genome assembly
CCCCUGACCUCCUCUUGCCUCCCUAAAUAAAGUAAAAUCUUACUUGUAUUCAAGUCUGCAGAUGCUGGCUCUGCCUUUGAAUUGACAUCAUCAGACGUGGUGGUCUGAGCAAAUUACAAUGCUUCCCCAUAAGAUUGGCUGAGACUGUCAACUAGGCAGAUCAGGGGCAGAGCCAGCACAAGUCAAACAUAGCCCUGGGCAAACAGCAUCUCCUCAUAAAGAUAAAUUGAAUCAAUGCAUCUCUAUGAGGAAAGUUCAGUGUCUGCAUGCAGAGGGUGGAGACACUGAAUGGCAGUGCUGCACACUAGGCAG